Molecule: ribosomal RNA, 442 nt
Filed under: Domitius sbordonii
Lineage: Eukaryota; Metazoa; Arthropoda; Arachnida; Araneae; Nesticidae
Description: partial 16S ribosomal RNA
Rfam family: Bacterial large subunit ribosomal RNA
Source: RNAcentral
UUUUUAAUGAAUUUAUAUUAAAUACAGCCUGCUCAAUGAAAUUAAUAGCCGCAGAAAAUUUACUGUGCUAAGGUAGCAUAAUCACUUGCCUCUUAAUUAGAGGCUAGAAUGAAUGGCUCAACAAUUAAUCAAUUUUUUAUAGAAGAAAUCCUAAAAUUAUAUUAAGCAUAAAAAUUUGCUUAUCCUCUUAAAAGACGACAAGACCCCGUCGAACUUAACUGUAGUUAAGCUGGGGAAGCUAAUUAAUAAUAACUGUAACAUCUCUAUUUUAAUAAAUACCCAGUACCAAUGAAUAAUAAUCAAGUUACCGCGGGGAUAACAGCGUAAUAAUUUUCUAAAGUUCCCAUUUAAAAAAAAGAUUACGACCUCGAUGUUGAAUUAGUUUAACUUAUUAGCGCAAGCGCUAAAAUAAGUAAGUCUGUUCGACUUUUCAAAAACUACA